Molecule: non-coding RNA, 238 nt
Filed under: Gossypium arboreum
Lineage: Eukaryota; Viridiplantae; Streptophyta; Magnoliopsida; Malvales; Malvaceae
Description: Eukaryotic large subunit ribosomal RNA
Rfam family: Eukaryotic large subunit ribosomal RNA
Source: Rfam by way of RNAcentral
UGGAACAAUGUAGGCAAGGGAAGUCGGCAAAAUGGAUCCGUAACCUUGGGAAAAGGAUUGGCUCUGAGGGCUGGGCACGGGGGUCCCAGUCCUGAACCCGUCAGCUGCCGGUGCACUGCUCAAGCUGCUUUCGCGGUGAGAGCGGGUCGCCUCAUGCUGGCCGUGGGACGGACUGGGAACGGCUCCUUCGGGGGUCUUCCCCGGGCGACGAACAGUCGACUCAGAACUGGUACGGACA